UUUCCUCCCUGUCCUCCCUGGAUUCCCUUUGGGACUCCCUCAAUGAGUCAGCCACCGAGGAGGACAUUCCCAAUGUUCAAUGAGGACGAAGGAAAAGGCGAGGAGGAGACGACCGCAAGACGGCUGGAUCUCCUCAGCCCUGACUGGGUUCCAAGUAUGUCACCAUUUUCGAGUGUUUCC
Non-coding RNA from Podarcis muralis (Common wall lizard), 180 nucleotides. The record is from RefSeq and is a predicted model, not a curated record. NCBI's taxonomy places the organism in Eukaryota, Metazoa, Chordata, Lepidosauria, Squamata, Lacertidae.